AGCGAACGCUGGCGGCAGGCCUAACACAUGCAAGUCGAACGCACCUUCGGGUGAGUGGCGGACGGGUGAGUAACACGUGGGAACGUACCUUUUGGUUCGGAUAACGCAGGGAAACUUGUGCUAAUACCGAAUGUGCCCUUCGGGGGAAAGAUUUAUCGCCAUUAGAGCGGCCCGCGUUAGAUUAGCUAGUUGGUGAGGUA
Molecule: ribosomal RNA, 200 nt
Filed under: uncultured bacterium
Lineage: Bacteria
Description: partial 16S ribosomal RNA
Rfam family: Bacterial small subunit ribosomal RNA
Source: RNAcentral